UACAGAGGGGGCAAGCGUUAUUCGGAAUUAUUGGGCGUAAAGAGCGUGUAGGCGGCCAGGUAGGUCUGCUGUGAAAACUCGAGGCUCAACCUCGAGACGUCGGCGGAAACCAUCUGGCUAGAGUCCGGAAGAGGAGAGUGGAAUUCCUGGUGUAGCGGUGAAAUGCGCAGAUAUCAGGAAGAACACCCGUGGCGAAGGCGGCUCGCUGGGACGGUACUGACGCUGAGACGCGAAAGCGUGGGGAGCGAACAGG
RNAcentral lists this ribosomal RNA (253 nucleotides) under uncultured bacterium. RNAcentral describes it as "partial 16S ribosomal RNA". It matches the Rfam family "Bacterial small subunit ribosomal RNA", at positions 524 to 776 of the family's 1533-position model. The record is from RNAcentral.